Molecule: long non-coding RNA, 1190 nt
Organism: Gavialis gangeticus (Gharial)
Lineage: Eukaryota; Metazoa; Chordata; Crocodylia; Gavialidae
Exons: 4
Source: RefSeq, a predicted model, not a curated record
AGUUGCUUUGAAGAUGCUGAGCUAAAGGAUAUAAAAGAGGAAUGAAACAGCUAAUGGCAUGCUUCAAGAAUAGGAAAUCAUUCUGACAAGAACUGCUACUGUGCUCAGCUGAUCUUUUGGUGAACUGCUCCACACCUUGAAGCUGACAAGAUUGAAACUGCCUCUUCGCCUGUAUUGCUUGGAAUUCUGUCACUCCUGUCACUAUUGGUAAUUGCUUCCUGAAGGCAUGUUUCAGCUUGCCAACCGAUCCAGAACAGAUGAUAUUGGCAAUAGGCCUGGGGAACCUGUUAUGGAUGCAGAAUGAUCUACAAACACUGAUGAGCCCUGCAAAUUACCUCUUUGUGCUACCCACAUGUAAAGCUGAUCAAGGGUCUACAGCUUUUAUGACUGUUGCAAAAAUCAGACAAAGGUAAAGAGCAACAGCUGUCUGAACAUCUCCAAAUGGUAGAAAGGCUUUCCUUUGACCAGGGUCAACAAAGAACUACUGGACCAUGGAGAUGUGAUGUUUACCUGCUCUUCUAGAGUAAGCAGGAAGGAAUGAUAUUUUCAUAUUUUAGUAAUGUCAUGGAUGUCUUCUGGUCCUUCAAACACUGCAAAAGCACAGCGAUGGACUGACCUGGUUUAAAAAUAUGGGGAGAAUUUUUAUGACCCUUUUGUCACAAAGGUCAUAAAAAAUUGUCCAAUAAACCAAUCGACUCUAACUGGUAGGUUAAACAUAAGAGCACUAUGAACUGUUGGGAGGGAGGCUGAAAGACAACAUUACUGAACCAUGUCCUAAAACCAGUUUGCCUGAAGAUUUUGAACAUGGACUUAUGUUUUUCCACAUUUGAAGUAGGGUUAUCUGUGGAUAAGCCUUGCUUGUGCUCUUGCUGUGUUAAACUUCUUUGUUCAAGGGUAAGUAGGCAUUAUGUACAGACAGUGAGUUAAACUAAAUAAUAUCUGCAUCCACUUCUCCAACAGAGAGGGAUUAACCAAAUACUGGCAUCUUCCUGACCUCUCAAAAGCUGAAGAAAUAGGAAUGGGUGGGGGGAGGGAAAUGAACUAUUGAAUUAUUAAAUGACUUCCAACAUUCUUCUCCUGACAGCAUUUUUCAUAAAGUAUUAUGUAUUCAAAAAUGUGUUUAACCUCUAAAAGUUAAGCAUAACCAUAACUAACAAGGUAACUUUUUGCAAGGGCUGAAGGGCUGACUA